This 543-nucleotide long non-coding RNA is filed under the name Homo sapiens (human). RNAcentral describes it as "HSALNT0027236". Lineage: Eukaryota; Metazoa; Chordata; Mammalia; Primates; Hominidae. The record is from RNAcentral.
UGUUUCUCUCAUUUCUUAAAAGUACUACGGACUUGUAAAUCAUAGUAUUCUCGUGUUGCAGGAAUAAGUGCCCAUCACAUUCCUUACACAAAGCCACAACUAAAACUUUGGUGUACCAUGAUUUGUUUAAAGCAACUCGCCAUUCAUCGCCAUUUUCACCCCAAACACACUAAAGCAUCCAUCUCCAGGAAACUGGUAUUUUUAUUGAUUACUUUAUGGCUGAUAAAGCUAUUAUCUAACAAAAUUAUAAUUUAUUGGUGUCAUCUCAUACUCAACUCAGAUUUCAAUUUCCCAUAAUCAGCGUCUAAAACCCUCGUUUCGGUUGCCCUAGGGCGCCACGUGCUUUUUUGCUCCUGUUAAACUCACUGUAACUGAAGUAGUCAGAGGUGGCUUCAUUGAUAGUUUAGUUCCUGGCCACGUAAUUAACAUAGCCAUUGUAGAAGACGCCGAAAGAUGCGUACGUGUUGUUAAAGGCCGGGUGAAGUCGCCAUCCUCCCCUCCCGCGCUAAACCUGAGUCAUCUCGGCGUGGCCCUCCUGCCCCC